This 464-nucleotide ribosomal RNA is filed under the name uncultured bacterium. RNAcentral's name for it is "partial 16S ribosomal RNA". It matches the Rfam family "Bacterial small subunit ribosomal RNA", at positions 29 to 507 of the family's 1533-position model. The record is from RNAcentral.
ACGAACGCUGGCGGCGUGCUUAACCCAUGCAAGUCGAACGGAAAGGCCCCUUUGGGGGUACUCGAGUGGCGACCGGGUGAGUAACACGUGAGUAACCUGCCCUUGACUUCGGGAUAACUUCAGGAAACUGGGGCUAAUACCGGAUAGGAAUCCUUGCUGCAUGGUGGGGGUUGGAAAGCUUCGGCGGUUUUGGAUGGACUCGCGGCUUAUCAGCUUGUUGGUGGGGUAGUGGCUUACCAAGGCUUUGACGGGUAGCCGGCCUGAGAGGGCGACCGGCCACAUAGGGACCGAGAUACGGCCCAGACUCCUACGGGAGGCAGCAGUGGGGAAUAUUGCACAAUGGGCGGAGGCCUGAUGCAGCAACGCCGCGUGCGGGAUGACGGCGUUCGGGUUGUAAACCGCUUUCAGCAGGGGCGAAGCUUGUGGUGACGGUACCUGCAGAAGAAGCACCGGCUAACUACGUG